UACGUAGGGUCCGAGCGUUGUCCGGAAUUAUUGGGCGUAAAGAGCUCAUAGGCGGUAUGUCGCGUCUGCUGUGAAAGACCGGGGCUUAACUUCGGUUUUGCAGUGGAUACGGGCAUGCUUGAGGUAGGUAGGGGAGACUGGAAUUCCUGGUGUAGCGGUGAAAUGCGCAGAUAUCAGGAGGAACACCGGUGGCGAAGGCGGGUCUCUGGGCCUUACCUGACGCUGAGGAGCGAAAGCAUGGGUAGCCAACAGGAUUAGAUACCCCCGUACGU
RNAcentral lists this ribosomal RNA (272 nucleotides) under uncultured prokaryote. Its description in RNAcentral is "partial 16S ribosomal RNA". It matches the Rfam family "Bacterial small subunit ribosomal RNA", at positions 524 to 794 of the family's 1533-position model. The record is from RNAcentral.